Molecule: ribosomal RNA, 576 nt
Filed under: Psilocybe rhombispora
Lineage: Eukaryota; Fungi; Basidiomycota; Agaricomycetes; Agaricales; Agrocybaceae
Description: eukaryotic LSU rRNA
Rfam family: 5.8S ribosomal RNA (bases 209-362)
Source: RNAcentral
GCGGAAGGAUCAUUAUUGAAUAAACUUGAUGUSGUUGUAGCUGACUCUCUAGGGAGUAUGUGCACGCCCGUCAUCUUUAUAUUUCCACCUGUGCACCUUUUGUAGACCCAGAAGGCUUCAACUGAAGUCGUUUGGGCCUAUGUUUAUCAUAUACCCCAUAGUAUGUAUUAGAAUGUAUCAGUGGGCUUCGUGCCUAUAAACACUAUACAACUUUCAGCAACGGAUCUCUUGGCUCUCGCAUCGAUGAAGAACGCAGCGAAAUGCGAUAAGUAAUGUGAAUUGCAGAAUUCAGUGAAUCAUCGAAUCUUUGAACGCACCUUGCGCUCCUUGGUAUUCCGAGGAGCAUGCCUGUUUGAGUGUCAUUAAAUUCUCAACCUCUCUAGUUUUUUGACUAGUAGAUGGCUUGGAUUUGGGAGUAAUUUUUGCAGGCUUCACAAGUCAGCUCUCCUUAAAUGUAUUAGCCGGUGCCCUCUAACCGUCUAUUGGUGUGAUAAUUAUCUACGCCGUGGACUAUUAGACUUUGGWUGCGCUGCUUAUAAUCGUCCUCUGGACAAUAUUAUGACAUUUGACCCAUAU